UUUGUCACGUUAUGGUAUUUCUCCCAUUUCCCCUUUUGCACUCGCACUCGCUCUCUCCCCGACCACACGCUCUCUCCCGGCCAACACUCUCUCCCGACGACCACUCGCUCCUCCCCGUCCAGAUCCUUUGUGCCGCCGGCCAGUCACCACCCUCUCCCUCUCGUCGGUGUCUUCCUCACUGCCGCCUUGCUCCUCGCCACCCCUAAAACUAGCAACCCGUCUCCCCCUCGUCGGUCAAAGGUGAAAUUUUUACCAGCCGGGGUGCUCGAUCUGUGGGCGGCGGUGCUCGAUCCGUGUUGGAGCAGCGGGAGGAGGAGGGCAGUUUUGGAUUGGAGCAGUGGUGCUGGACCAGAGCAGUGGGAAUAGGGGGGUGGUGCCGGCCGCUCUUACUUUGUGUAGUCCUCUUCGCUCUCGUCAUGCCGUUGCCACCGCCGAGGAAGACGGAGAGCCUGUCGGAGGGAGGAGCGCCAUGGCCAGUUCUGACCUCCUCUGUCCAGAUCCAGCUCCAGCAAUCAUCCCCUCUUGCUGCUUGCUCUCUCAAUUUCAAGACUGAAGAAGAGAACAUGGGGAGCAGCAGCUGCCCUCUGCUCUGCUCUUAUGCGAAUGCUCUACUGCAGGACCAUGGCAGCGAUGCUCGCCGAAGCGGACGACAACCACUCCCGUGCAAACAAAGGUACAGACUGGUCCUGGUUGGCGAUGAGGGCGCUCUGGCCUCUGUAGUUACAUGAGACAACAGUUCUUUGUGCAAAUGUUGACUGAAUUUGCCUCUGACUCGUCUCUGCACUUGACUGAAUUCGCCUCUUUGUGCAAUGUUGCUGCUGCAGGUGGAGUGAAGUUGAGGUCUGGGAGAUCCAUUUUCUCCUGAAGAUAUGAAUAUGUAAGAUGAAGUAGAAGUAGAAGUAGAAGUAGAAGUAGAAGUAGAAGUAGAAGUACAAGAAGAAGAAGAAGAAGAAGUACAUAUAAAUUCAGUCUGUGUACUGUCAAUUGUUGUAUGUUUACUAUCAAAGCAAGAAUUAGUCAAUUGCUGUCUGUUUACUGUCAAAGCAAGAAAGACAAUAUUAUUAUGGUCAAUUGUUGUCCGUUUACUGUCAAAGCAAGAAUUAGUUUCCUAGGUUAAUGAAACAUUACCAGCCAUAAUUAGUUUUCUGUAUCUUAAUUAUCUCUGGACAUUUUUGCCUGAAAACUGAAUGUACAAUGUUUCUGUAGAUAAUUUGGUCGAAAAGGGACGACAUGCUGAGGUGUACAACAUUCAGUUUCUCUUUCGACAUGCUGAGCUCUAUAAGUGCUCACAUUCUUUGUAUGGAUCUUAUUGAAUAAGUACUUGUUAACAUUGGUACCAUUUUCUUCAGAUUUUCGUUGGUGGUCUUCUGAUUGAUUUGGAAGGAAGAAUUGUUGGUAUGAAUUUCAUAGACGAGAAUAAAACUCCCUUUUUGCCCGUCCAGAUUGUUGGGAGAUGCCUGAAACACUUCAGAAAUUUGGGACACUUCUUUCCUGUAUAUGGGACGAUUGCUUGAAGGAUUUGGUGUUGGUGUCAUAUCCUACAUGUUUUGACAGGUGAACAGAUGGACAGUGGCUGCUCCUUGCUGAUCAAUUCAAAAUUGCUCUGGCUAUCAAUUCAAGCUUGUUGUGACUGGUGAGAAGACGUCCUGGUCAAUCACCACAUCUGAUCAAUUUCUGUCUGUGGCGAGAAGAAGUGGUACAACUCCGGCGAUCAAUUUCUUUGGCGAUUAACAAUUUGGAUCAAUUCAAACAGCAACACAGGCAGCGCUAGUGCUGCUGUUGGUCAGUGCGGGGAGGAGCACGGGCGGAGGUCAAUUGGCCGGAUCCGGAGGUCCAGUGCCUGAAUCGAGGAGCUGGAAGGCUGAGGCAGGAGGAGGAGCACAGGCUGCACUGCUGCUGCUGUUGGUUAGUGCGGGGAGGAGCACGGACGGAGGUCAAUUGGCCGGAUCCGGAGCUCCAGUGCCUGAAUCGAGGAGCUGGAAGGCUCAGGCAGGAGGAGGAGGAGCACGGGCGGCGCUGCUGCUGGUCGGUGCGGGGAGGAGCAUGGGCGGCGCGAAGGCCAGGAGUCGCGGGCGGCGCGACGGCCAGGAGUCGCGGGCGGCUGGAGGCUGUGGCGGAUGGCGAGGGAGUUGCGUACAAGUUUGGGCUCUUGAUUGGAGCGGAGGAAGGUGGCCGACGAGGAGCUGCGACCGGCGCGGACGGACGCCGGAGGUGCAGCAGUGGGAUGGAGCCUGGCGGAGGGGAGGAGCGAUGGAGUAAGAUGAAGAUCCCCGGCGACAAGAAUUUCAAAUUGAGGGUAGUUUAGUAGUUUAUCAUGUUUUCACCUGGUCGGAAAAGUUCCCCAACGACAACUAUGUCGGAACAGGGGGAGUGCAUGAAUGGAGUUGGUUGUACAGUGCAAUUUUGCGUGACCCAAAACAGACGAAAGGGAAAAGGAGAGGUGUUCGUUUGAUUGGAAACCUUGUGUUCGUACUAGUAAUGCAAUAACAUAUUAUAUUUUAUUCA
This is a non-coding RNA of Triticum urartu, 2505 nucleotides long. Lineage: Eukaryota; Viridiplantae; Streptophyta; Magnoliopsida; Poales; Poaceae. The record is from RefSeq and is a predicted model, not a curated record.